Acanthosepion pharaonis is the source of this 113-nucleotide non-coding RNA. The record is from the annotation of a GenBank genome assembly. Lineage: Eukaryota; Metazoa; Mollusca; Cephalopoda; Sepiida; Sepiidae.
UAUGGCCAUAUCAUGUUGAAACACCAGUUCUCAUUGGAUCACUGAAUUUAAACAAUGUUGAGCUUGGAAUGUACUCUCUUGGGUGACUUCUGGGUAAUACUAAGUGCUGUAAG